ACAAGCGGUGGAGUAUGUGGUUAAUUCGAUGCAACGCGAAGAACCUUACCUGGUUGGAAACCCUGGAAUCCCGCAGAGAUGUGGGAGUGCUCUUUUAGAGAAUCAGGUGUCCAGGUGCUGCAUGGUUGUCGUCAGCUCGUGUCGUGAGAUGUUGGGUUAAGUCCCGCAACGAGCGCAACCCCUGUUGUUAGUUGCCAGCGAUUCGGUCGGGCACUCUAACGAGACUGCCGGUGGUAAGCCGGAGGAAGGUGGGGAUGACGUCAAGUCAGCAUGGCCUUUAUAUCCUGGGCUACACACACGCUACAAUGGCCAACACAAUAGGUUGCUAAGCCGCGAGGUGGCGCCAAUCCAUAAAGUUGGUCUCAGUUCAGAUUGUAGGCUGCAACCCGCCUGCAUGAAGAUGGAGUUGCUAGUAACCGCAGGUCAGCUAUACUGCGGUGAAUACGUUCCCGGGGCUU
RNAcentral lists this ribosomal RNA (458 nucleotides) under uncultured Sedimentibacter sp. RNAcentral's name for it is "bacterial SSU rRNA". It matches the Rfam family "Bacterial small subunit ribosomal RNA", at positions 925 to 1382 of the family's 1533-position model. Lineage: Bacteria; Bacillati; Bacillota; Tissierellia. The record is from RNAcentral.